GAGGGUAGGCCCCUCGAUUCCGGCAACCAGAUGCAGGAAUCAAACCGCCCUAUGCGGCAUGUAUUAAGAGUGCAUGUCGUGAGCGAUAGGGAAAAGGCAGUAUGAUUAACUGUCAGGU
Halomonas sp. is the source of this 118-nucleotide non-coding RNA. Lineage: Bacteria; Pseudomonadati; Pseudomonadota; Gammaproteobacteria; Oceanospirillales; Halomonadaceae. The record is from Rfam.